Non-coding RNA from Thoreauomyces humboldtii, 82 nucleotides. The record is from the annotation of a GenBank genome assembly. Lineage: Eukaryota; Fungi; Chytridiomycota; Chytridiomycetes; Spizellomycetales; Powellomycetaceae.
GCAACGAUGGCCGAGCGGUCUAAGGCGCUGCGUUCAGGUCGCAGUAUCUUCGGAUGCGCGAGUUCAAAUCUCGCUCGUUGUA